UACGUAGGGGGCAAGCGUUGUCCGGAAUCAUUGGGCGUAAAGAGCGUGUAGGCGGCUCGAUAAGUCCGCUGUGAAAGUCCAGGGCUCAACCCUGGAAGGCCGGUGGAAACUGUCGGGCUAGAGUCCGGAAGAGGCGAGUGGAAUUCCCGGUGUAGCGGUGAAAUGCGCAGAUAUCGGGAGGAACACCAAUGGCGAAGGCAGCUCGCUGGGACGGUACUGACGCUGAGGAGCGAAAAGCGUGGGGAGCGAACAGG
This 254-nucleotide ribosomal RNA is filed under the name uncultured bacterium. RNAcentral's name for it is "partial 16S ribosomal RNA". It matches the Rfam family "Bacterial small subunit ribosomal RNA", at positions 524 to 776 of the family's 1533-position model. The record is from RNAcentral.